GAUGAAGAACGUAGCGAAAUGCGAUACUUGGUGUGAAUUGCAGAAUCCCGUGAACCAUCGAGUCUUUGAACGCAAGUUGCGCCCGAAGCCAUUAGGCCGAGGGCACGCCUGCCUGGGCGUCACACGUCGUUGCCCCCCCAUCUACUCCUUCGGGAUUGCGGGGGGCGGAUGAUGGCCUCCCGUGCGCCUCGUCGCGCGGUUGGCAUAAAUGCCAAGUCCUCGGCGACGCACGCCACGACAAUCGGUGGUUGCGAAACCUCGGUUGCCCGUCGUGUGCGGUCGUCGCGCAUCGAGGGCUCGAAAAAAUUGCCGGGCUCCGGCUCGGCUUUCAACGCGACCCCUGGUCAGGCGGGGUUACCCGCUGAAUUUAAGCAUAUCAAUAAGCGGAGGA
This 391-nucleotide unclassified non-coding RNA is filed under the name soil metagenome. RNAcentral's name for it is "partial contains 5.8S ribosomal RNA, internal transcribed spacer 2, and large subunit ribosomal RNA". The stretch from base 1 to 122 matches the Rfam family "5.8S ribosomal RNA", at positions 35 to 154 of the family's 154-position model. The record is from RNAcentral.